CAGCCGCCGCGGUAAUACCGGCGGCCCGAGUGGCGGUCACUCUUAUUGGGCUUAAAGCGUCCGUAGCCGGGUUGGGAAGUCCUCCGGGAAAUCUGGCCGCUUAACGGUCAGAAUGCCGGAGGAUACUCCCAGCCUAGGGAGCGGGAGAGGCCGAGGGGAUUCCCGGGGUAGGGGUGAAAUCCUAUAAUCCCGGGAGGACCACCUGUGGCGAAGGCGCCCGGCUGGAACGCGUCCGACGGUGAGGGACGAAGGCCAGGGGAGCAAACCGGAUUAGAUACCCGGGUAGUCCUGGCUGUAAACGAUGCGGACUUUGUGUCGGACAAGCUAUGAGCUUGUCCGGUGCCGGAGGGAAACCGUUAAGUCCGCCGCCUGGGGAGUACGGCCGCAAGGCUGAAACUUAAAGGAAUUGGCGGG
This 414-nucleotide ribosomal RNA is filed under the name uncultured microorganism. Its description in RNAcentral is "bacterial SSU rRNA". It matches the Rfam family "Archaeal small subunit ribosomal RNA", at positions 459 to 872 of the family's 1478-position model. The record is from RNAcentral.